UGGGGAAUUUUGGACAAUGGGCGAAAGCCUGAUCCAGCAAUGCCGCGUGUGUGAAGAAGGCCUUCGGGUUGUAAAGCACUUUUGUCCGGAAAGAAAUCCUUGGCUCUAAUACAGUCGGGGGAUGACGGUACCGGAAGAAUAAGCACCGGCUAACUACGUGCCAGCAGCCGCGGUAAUACGUAGGGUGCAAGCGUUAAUCGGAAUUACUGGGCGUAAAGCGUGCGCAGGCGGUUUGCUAAGACCGAUGUGAAAUCCCCGGGCUCAACCUGGGAACUGCAUUGGUGACUGGCAGGCUAGAGUAUGGCAGAGGGGGGUAGAAUUCCACGUGUAGCAGUGAAAUGCGUAGAGAUGUGGAGGAAUACCGAUGGCGAAGGCAGCCCCCUGGGCCAAUACUGACGCUCAUGCACGAAAGCGUGGGGAGCAAACAGGAUUAGAUACCCUGGUAGUCCACGCCCUAAACGAUGUCAGCUAGUUGUUGGGGAUUCAUUUCCUUAGUAACGUAGCUAACGCGUGAAGUUGACCGCCUGGGGAGUACGGUCGCAAGAUUAAAACUCAAAUGAAUUGACGGGGUCAUAGCUGUUUCCU
RNAcentral lists this ribosomal RNA (585 nucleotides) under uncultured bacterium. RNAcentral describes it as "partial 16S ribosomal RNA". It matches the Rfam family "Bacterial small subunit ribosomal RNA", at positions 355 to 1375 of the family's 1533-position model. The record is from RNAcentral.